GACGAACGCUGGCGGCGUGCUUAACACAUGCAAGUCGAGCGGUAAGGCCCUUUCGGGGGUACACGAGCGGCGAACGGGUGAGUAACACGUGAGUAAUCUGCCCAUCACUUGGGGAUAACUACCGGAAACGGUGGCUAAUACCGAAUAUGACCACUUCCUGCAUGGGAUGGUGGUGGAAAGUUCCGGCGGUGAUGGAUGAGCUCGCGGCCUAUCAGCUUGUUGGUGGGGUAAUGGCCUACCAAGGCCUCGACGGGUAGCCGGCCUGAGAGGGUGACCGGCCACACUGGGACUGAGACACGGCCCAGACUCCUACGGGAGGCAGCAGUGGGGAAUAUUGGACAAUGGGCGAAAGCCUGAUCCAGCAACGCCGCGUGGGGGAUGACGGCCUUCGGGUUGUAAACCUCUUUCAGUGGGGACGAAGCGCAAGUGACGGUACCCACAGAAGAAGCACCGGCCAACUACGUGCCAGCCGCCGCGGUAA
RNAcentral lists this ribosomal RNA (481 nucleotides) under uncultured bacterium. RNAcentral's name for it is "partial 16S ribosomal RNA". It matches the Rfam family "Bacterial small subunit ribosomal RNA", at positions 28 to 523 of the family's 1533-position model. The record is from RNAcentral.